AGGGCAUCGCUAACGAGGAAGCCGUCCACGA
This 31-nucleotide non-coding RNA is filed under the name Homo sapiens (human). The record is from RNAcentral. Lineage: Eukaryota; Metazoa; Chordata; Mammalia; Primates; Hominidae.